This 237-nucleotide ribosomal RNA is filed under the name uncultured bacterium. RNAcentral describes it as "partial 16S ribosomal RNA". It matches the Rfam family "Bacterial small subunit ribosomal RNA", at positions 125 to 356 of the family's 1533-position model. The record is from RNAcentral.
CCUGCCCAAGAGACUGGGAUAACACCUGGAAACAGAUGCUAAUACCGGAUAACAACACUAGACGCAUGUCUAGAGUUUAAAAGAUGGUUCUGCUAUCACUCUUGGAUGGACCUGCGGUGCAUUAGCUAGUUGGUAAGGCAACGGCUUACCAAGGCAAUGAUGCAUAGCCGAGUUGAGAGACUGAUCGGCCACAUUGGGACUGAGACACGGUCCAAACUCCUACGGGAGGCAGCAGCG